Odontomachus brunneus is the source of this 484-nucleotide long non-coding RNA. RefSeq lists it as uncharacterized. The record is from RefSeq and is a predicted model, not a curated record. The transcript has 2 exons. Lineage: Eukaryota; Metazoa; Arthropoda; Insecta; Hymenoptera; Formicidae.
CGUCAUUAAUUCGCCGGUCUUAAUUCAGCAGGAUUCAAACACCCCGCCGUUAUUCGAGGCAGCGGCAAGGAGGGGCAAGAGAGAAAUAGAGAAGAGCCAAGAGAGUUCAUCGCAUCGGCAAGAUCCUCGGAACGAAAGUCCAGGAAAGAGCGCGUCGGUUGCACCUGCACUGUCGAGCGACUUGCACGGGUAUCUCUACUAUCUUAAAUCACAAUGGUGACGACAAGUUUAACUAUUUAUUUCGUUAGUUAGUUCCUUAAGAUUGAUCGUUACAUAUAAGCAGGUACGCACACACGCACGCACACACGUGUUAUGUUACCGUAUACAUGGACACGCGACGGAACGAGCCGUUUGAUCGUCGAUGAUCCCGCAAUAAUUAAUGCAACGAUACAGUCGACGAUUUUUGUGGACGGUGCUUAACAGACGACGCGUCUGCGUUAAGAAAGGUGAAGAGGAGAAGGCAAAAAUAUACAAGUGUUAGAAA